GGGAAAUUUGUUUGGCAAAAGCCUCACCCUUGCAAUAUUUUUUCCCCCCCAGGGUGGAGCACCUGCCAUAUUGUAUCCACUGGCUGCGAGCAUGGCGAUUGUAUUGUAUCAAAGAAAGCAACUUACCAGAAGCAAAAAUGGACAAAUCUAGCACAGACAACCCAGUUAAACUAUCUGGCAGCUUCAUUUCUUUGAACACUUCGUUGCUCAUAUCGAACAACACUAAGCUCAAAUUGCGAAAAUCGCUAUCU
Molecule: unclassified non-coding RNA, 251 nt
Filed under: Hevea brasiliensis (rubber tree)
Lineage: Eukaryota; Viridiplantae; Streptophyta; Magnoliopsida; Malpighiales; Euphorbiaceae
Source: RNAcentral